Molecule: small RNA, 29 nt
Filed under: Bombyx mori (domestic silkworm)
Lineage: Eukaryota; Metazoa; Arthropoda; Insecta; Lepidoptera; Bombycidae
Description: ovarian small RNA-24727
Source: RNAcentral
UCAAGCAUGGUGUGACUCGCAAGUAGUUU